Molecule: long non-coding RNA, 252 nt
Filed under: Elaeis guineensis (African oil palm)
Lineage: Eukaryota; Viridiplantae; Streptophyta; Magnoliopsida; Arecales; Arecaceae
Description: long non-coding RNA (EGUI_LNC046834)
Source: RNAcentral
GAGUGAAUACCCAUAGAGGUCGAACACUUGUACGGCUAUAAAUUUUUUUUUUCUCUUUCAGAUCUAGAUUCGAAGAAAAGAAUUAUGAAACAGAUAUGUGAAUUGAUCACAAUUUGAAUUUUAGCAUAUGUCAAUUUCAGCACAUAAACUAGAUCUUUGUGAUUUUAUAUUUUCAUGCAUGCAUGAUUCAGAUUAAAAAUAUUUUAAUCUUGUGUUCUGCUGUGGUAUUUAGAAAAUAAAGUUUUGAAAUAU